Molecule: non-coding RNA, 20 nt
Filed under: Arabidopsis thaliana (thale cress)
Lineage: Eukaryota; Viridiplantae; Streptophyta; Magnoliopsida; Brassicales; Brassicaceae
Source: RNAcentral
UCGAUGAUGGGUGAUCUUGC